UUGCAAACGCGUCUGUGUGUCAGUCAUUGUAGCGAAUAUAUUUUAGCAGUGAGGACGUGUCGUCCAUUGUAUAUUUUUGUCGCUUCUACAUUCUGUAAAUAAAAGUGACAAAGAAGUCGAUUUCCUGACAACCAAAGUGUUAAUCAUAUUUGCAUAAUCUCAAACCAUCAACAUGUCGUCCCGCUACCGUGAAUGGGACCUACAAUGCAAAGUCUACGUCGGAAAUCUGGGCUCGUCAGCAUCAAAACACGAAAUCGAAAAUGCAUUCGGCAAAUACGGACAAUUGCGAAAUGUUUGGGUCGCUCGCAAUCCACCGGGUUUCGCAUUCGUUGAAUUCGAGGAUCGACGGGAUGCCGAAGAUGCGGUUCGUGCAUUGGACGGAUCUCGAUGCUGUGGCACUCGUAUUCGGGUGGAAAUGUCAUCGGGUCGAUCACGACGUGAUGACCGUAAAGGACGCGGUGGUGGUGGCGGCGGCGGACGUAAUCGAUACAGGGCAUUUUCCAUCUUCAAACAUCUUUACCUCAACAUCCACAAGUUUACAUCUACCGCCACAACUUCAACUACGCCUUCUAGUCCAUCGAUAGCGAUGCUUCUUCAUUUUCCACAUUUUAUUCUCAAUUUUCUGUCGCCUACUUGAACGUAGCGCACCAUCAGCUCAAAAUGUAUAAAAUCAAAAGCUCCAACAAUUGAAAACAUUGUGCUUGCGAAGCACACACAACAGACACACACAUGCAACGCGCGCAUUACAUGACACAUACGCAUUCAUAGCGAUGUUUGCAACGGGACCGAAAAAAUUUAAGUCAAACGAAAACGAAAUGCGAAAAUUGUGUGUUCGUCUCAACCUCAGACCGAAUGUUUAACAAACAAAGAGCAAAAUGUAGCUGGAACGCUUUGCGAAACUAUCAUUCCCUUUAUAGCGAUAAAUCACACAUCACCUACCAACCACCACCACCACUACCACAACCACAACCAACCACCACCCAUCCUGCGUUCUAGAAAUUAAGUUUUUUUAUCUUCAAAAAAACAAACAAACCGAAACGUAAAUAGGCGCUUAAUAUUAACCAACGAUAUCCAUCAACGAUCCAUCGCCAAGUAUAACCUCUUUACCACCACACAAGCCGCGUGUAUGCGUCCGUCAUCCGAAUGUAUCGUCGACGUAAUAGAAAGUUAAUAAACCGUCGAUUCAUUCGAUUGGGAAUAGGAAGCGAUCCGAAAGUCACAAAAUUUAAUCAGCGUCACGUACAGUGUCCCCACAGUCACCGCUACAAUAAACAACCGUGUCCACACCGAUCAAGUUUUCAAAUUUUGCGGGCAUCAAUCAAAUUCUCCUCUUCUUUUUGCUACUACCAAAUAAUCAGCCACAAAACAUCAAUAUAUCGUCACAACCACUACAAAAUCAAAAAAAAAAAUUGUAAUUACCUACUACUACUACAACUACUACUACUACCAACCACCUCAACAACAAUUUUACAAACAACAUGAAAAAAAGAAAAAAAAAUCGCAAAAAAAUGAGAAAGCAAAAAAUUUGUAAAUAAUUCACAUUCCCCGAUGUUCUACUUAAAAAUUGACUGCAUCCUACUACUAUACUACUACUAUAUUAUACUACUACUACCAAAAGUACCAAAAAUCAACACCAUCGAAAUCAACCACUCUUCCACGGCAUCAUUUUAGUGGUCUCGUUCGCCACGUCGAUCCCGCUCUCGUUCCCGCAGCUUGUCGCGUGAGCGUCGAAGUCGAUCCGAUUCAAGGGAUCGCUACUGAUGGAUGCAAAGCAGGAGAAAAAUUUGAGGACAAAGAGAAAGAAUUUUUUUUUCAUUUGAAUACAGCUCACAGGACGUCUUUUUUUAACUAUUUUUUUUCUGGCUAAAUUCAACGUAAUUUUAAACUAUUAUAAUAGCGCGAACACUCUCUUGGAAUGGGGAAAGUGUUUUUCUCUAAUUUUUUUUUUCUUCUUAGUUUAAGAAUCAAAUAAGUUCAUUAAGUUAAUCAGAAAAUACUUCGUUAGGUAAAAAAAAGUAUUAAAAAAAAGCAAAGAAAAAAUAUCCAACAAAAAUCAGUUCAAUGAUCGGAUAACACGGACACUUUCAUUGGAUUGACAGACAAAAUGAAUUUAUUUUCAAACCAUUUGACUCGCUGAUCUUAUAUUUUUCAUGAGAGUAUUUUUGUUCAUCAAUUAUUUUAUAAAUAAAAGUGAUGUAAUUAAUGAAAAA
RNA transcript from Bradysia coprophila, 2210 nucleotides. It is a transcript of the gene named RNA-binding protein 1, with no coding region annotated. NCBI's taxonomy places the organism in Eukaryota, Metazoa, Arthropoda, Insecta, Diptera, Sciaridae. The record is from RefSeq and is a predicted model, not a curated record.